Molecule: long non-coding RNA, 1364 nt
Organism: Oncorhynchus masou masou (cherry salmon)
Lineage: Eukaryota; Metazoa; Chordata; Actinopteri; Salmoniformes; Salmonidae
Exons: 2
Source: RefSeq, a predicted model, not a curated record
UACAACCCAGGUAUAAACAUAUUGUAAUAUACAACUCAGGUAUAAACAUAUUGUAAUAUACAACUCAGGUAUAUAUUGUAAUGUACAACCCAGGUAUAUAUUGUAAUGUACAACCCAGGUAUAUAUUGUAAUGUACAACCCAGGUAUAUAUUGUAAUGUACAACCCAGGUAUAUAUUGUAAUGUACAACCCAGGUAUAUAUUGUAAUAUACAACCCAGGUAUAUAUUGUAAUGUACAACCCAGGUAUAUAUUGUAAUGUACAACCCAGGUAUAUAUUGUAAUGUACAACCCAGGUAUAUAUUGUAAUAUACAACCCAGGUAUAUAUUGUAAUAUACAACCCAGGUAUAUAUUGUAAUGUACAACCCAGGUAUAUAUUGUAAUGUACAACCCAGGUAUAUAUUGUAAUGUACAACCCAGGUAUAUAUUGUAAUGUACAACCCAGGUAUAUAUUGUAAUAUACAACCCAGGUAUAUAUUGUAAUGUACAACCCAGGUAUAUAUUGUAAUGUACAACCCAGGUAUAUAUUGUAAUAUACAACCCAGGUAUAUAUUGUAAUAUACAACCCAGGUAUAUAUUGUAAUGUACAACCCAGGUAUAUAUUGUAAUGUACAACCCAGGUAUAUAUUGUAAUGUACAACCCAGGUAUAUAUUGUAAUGUACAACCCAAGUAUUUCAGCAGUGCAUUGUACAGCACAGUGUAAUUCUGAAUGGAAGCACUUCCAGUGACUCUCCACGUUGUCCAAUUGAAGCACCCUGGCUGAUGGAGAAUGAUGAUGUAGUAUUUACAGACACAUACAUAUAGUAUUUGAUUUUAAAUUCCAACAUAAAUUGAUGACAAUUGAUACAUUUAUGUACAUUCAUUUUACAGUGUUCAGCAGUUGAAACUAUAUAGGUAAGCUAAGCACUACUCCAUUUUGGUUCAGCAGUUAUGAAACUAUGUAGGUAAACUAAGCACUACUCCAUUUUGGUUCAGCAGUUAUGAAACUAUAUAGGUAAGCUAAGCACUACUCCAUUUUGGUUCAGUAGUUAUGAAACUAUAUAGGUAAGCUAAGCACUACUCCAUUUUGGUUCAGCAGUUAUGAAACUAUAUAGGUAAGCUAAGUUUGUAGUACUCAGUCAAUUGAAAAUGUGCUUAGAGUUUUGACCACGUGACAUUUUGAUGAUCUGUUUAGAGUCUAAGAGUUGUGAAAAUGUACCACAUACCAAAGUGAAACAAAUUGCACCAAAGUGAAGAAAAUUAAGACUGUAAAUCGUCUUUUCAAAUGUUUUAUGACUUUUAAUGGAAGAAUUGUUAUCAAUACUGAAACAAUACAAAAUGUAAUGCUACAUCUCGUGUGUUAAUAAAGUUGCGACAUUUGAAGCA